ACUAGCGCUGCAGUAGUCUUGUUAAAAAGCCUGUAUUACAUUGAGACGGCCACAUAAAACGAUCUGCAAUGUGCCACACAAACGAAGAACCAGUCCAGUUAAGCCGGACCACAUCAAUUACCAAGAUAAAAUUUCAUUUCAUCGUCGUUUGUCUGGCACCCCUCCUCCGUUGCUGCUGACAACCUUUCCUUCACCGUCCCCUGUAACCAUCCUUGCUCCACUCCUUCAUCCACCACCAAAGCCCCCUCCGUCCCUCCCUUUGAUAUUUUGUUACGCACGAGGUCGCGUCUGGCCAGAGGGGGGAGUACUGUCACAGUUCUGUUCAGUUUGCCUUAGUUUUCAUGGGCACUUAAUUUGUUUUCAUUCAUCACAUGUGUUCCAUGUGUGGAUGUUUACACACUGUUAUGCCUUA
Long non-coding RNA from Sinocyclocheilus grahami, 412 nucleotides. RefSeq lists it as uncharacterized. The transcript has 3 exons. The record is from RefSeq and is a predicted model, not a curated record. NCBI's taxonomy places the organism in Eukaryota, Metazoa, Chordata, Actinopteri, Cypriniformes, Cyprinidae.